AUAAUUAAAAUCAGUUGGAAUGAAUUUUUCACUUUAAAUCAAGGACUUUUAGGCCCAUGUUACUCUGACGUUAUUGUGUUUCCUCACUCAGAUUCUAUUGA
Maniola jurtina (meadow brown) is the source of this 101-nucleotide long non-coding RNA. RefSeq lists it as uncharacterized. The record is from RefSeq and is a predicted model, not a curated record. The transcript has 3 exons. NCBI's taxonomy places the organism in Eukaryota, Metazoa, Arthropoda, Insecta, Lepidoptera, Nymphalidae.